Molecule: ribosomal RNA, 253 nt
Filed under: uncultured bacterium
Lineage: Bacteria
Description: partial 16S ribosomal RNA
Rfam family: Bacterial small subunit ribosomal RNA
Source: RNAcentral
UACGAGGGGGGCAAAUGUUGUUCGGAAUCACUGGGCGUAAAGGGAGCGUAGGCGGGUUUUUAAGUCAGGUGUUUAAUCCCGGGGCCCAACCCCGGACCGGCACUUGAAACUGGGAAUCUUGAAUAGGGGAGAGGUCAGUGGAAUUGGAGGUGUAGCGGUGGAAUGCGUAGAGAUCUCCAAGAACACCAGUUGCGAAGGCGGCUGACUGGACCCAUAUUGACGCUGAGGCUCGAAAGCAUGGGGAGCAAACAGG